GUCUUUCUGGAAGAUUAGAAAGUCGGGCCUGCCCACUGAGGUGUUGAAGGGCCGCGGUAUUUUGACUGUGCAAAGGUAGCAUAAUCAUUAGUCUUUUAAUUGAAGGCUUGUAUGAAUGGUUUGACGAAGCGUAAACUGUCUUUUUAUAAAGUGUAUAAUUUAACUUUUGAGUUAAAAGGCUCAAAUAAAUGUAGAGGACGAGAAGACCCUAUAGAGCUUGAUAAUAUUAAUUAAGUAAUUUUGUGGAUAAAUUAUAGUUAUUUGGUUGAUAUUAUUUUGUUGGGGUGACAUGGAGAUAUAAUAAACUCUUUAAAAUAUAGAACAUAAAUGAAUGGUUGAUUGAUCCAGUAGUAUUGAUUAUUAGAUGAAGUUACCUUAGGGAUAACAGCGUAAUUUUUUUUAAGAGUUCAUAUCGACAAAAAAGAUUGCGACCUCGAUGUUGGAUUAAGAUAAUGACUGGGUGUAGUAGUUCAGUUAAUAGGUCUGUUCGACCUUUAAAUUCUUACA
This 507-nucleotide ribosomal RNA is filed under the name Saga ephippigera. RNAcentral describes it as "partial 16S ribosomal RNA". It matches the Rfam family "Bacterial large subunit ribosomal RNA", at positions 1832 to 2600 of the family's 2925-position model. Lineage: Eukaryota; Metazoa; Arthropoda; Insecta; Orthoptera; Tettigoniidae. The record is from RNAcentral.